RNAcentral lists this ribosomal RNA (1343 nucleotides) under uncultured bacterium. RNAcentral's name for it is "16S ribosomal RNA". It matches the Rfam family "Bacterial small subunit ribosomal RNA", at positions 28 to 1378 of the family's 1533-position model. The record is from RNAcentral.
GACGAACGUUGGCGGCGUGCUUAACGCAUGCAAGUCGAACGGAAAGGCCCUGCUUUUGUGGGGUGCUCGAGUGGCGAACGGGUGAGUAACACGUGAGUAACCUGCCCUUGACUUUGGGAUAACUUCAGGAAACUGGGGCUAAUACCGGAUAGGAGCUCCUGCUGCAUGGUGGGGGUUGGAAAGUUUCGGCGGUUGGGGAUGGACUCGCGGCUUAUCAGCUUGUUGGUGGGGUAGUGGCUUACCAAGGCUUUGACGGGUAGCCGGCCUGAGAGGGUGACCGGCCACAUUGGGACUGAGAUACGGCCCAGACUCCUACGGGAGGCAGCAGGGGGGAAUAUUGCACAAUGGGCGGAAGCCUGAUGCAGCAACGCCGCGUGCGGGAUGACGGCCUUCGGGUUGUAAACCGCUUUCGCCUGUGACGAAGCGUGAGUGACGGUAAUGGGUAAAGAAGCACCGGCUAACUACGUGCCAGCAGCCGCGGUGAUACGUAGGGUGCGAGCGUUGUCCGGAUUUAUUGGGCGUAAAGGGCUCGUAGGUGGUUGAUCGCGUCGGAAGUGUAAUCUUGGGGCUUAACCCUGAGCGUGCUUUCGAUACGGGUUGACUUGAGGAAGGUAGGGGAGAAUGGAAUUCCUGGUGGAGCGGUGGAAUGCGCAGAUAUCAGGAGGAACACCAGUGGCGAAGGCGGUUCUCUGGGCCUUUCCUGACGCUGAGGAGCGAAAGCGUGGGGAGCGAACAGGCUUAGAUACCCUGGUAGUCCACGCUGUAAACGGUGGGUACUAGGUGUGGGGUCCAUUCCACGGGUUCCGUGCCGUAGCUAACGCUUUAAGUACCCCGCCUGGGGAGUACGGCCGCAAGGCUAAAACUCAAAGGAAUUGACGGGGCCCCGCACAAGCGGCGGAGCAUGCGGAUUAAUUCGAUGCAACGCGUAGAACCUUACCUGGGUUUGACAUGGAUCGGGAGUGCUCAGAGAUGGGUGUGCCUCUUUUGGGGUCGGUUCACAGGUGGUGCAUGGCUGUCGUCAGCUCGUGUCGUGAGAUGUUGGGUUAAGUCCCGCAACGAGCGCAACCCUUGUUCACUGUUGCCAGCACGUUAUGGUGGGGACUCAGUGGAGACCGCCGGGGUCAACUCGGAGGAAGGUGGGGAUGACGUCAAGUCAUCAUGCCCCUUAUGUCCAGGGCUUCACGCAUGCUACAAUGGCUGGUACAGAGAGUGGCGAGCCUGUGAGGGUGAGCGAAUCUCGGAAAGCCGGUCUCAGUUCGGAUUGGGGUCUGCAACUCGACCUCAUGAAGUCGGAGUCGCUAGUAAUCGCAGAUCAGCAACGCUGCGGUGAAUACGUUCCCGGG